CUAACGUUAGAGACUCUGAGUCUGGUCUUGAGGACACACAAGCCACUCCACAGCGGAUUACUGCAAGAUUAAUAAAGUAGACCUGCAGGACCCGAGCAGAGCUACGAUGCUCUCCCAGGUACUUCAAGCUUUACAAUAAGAAGUCAAGGAAGUGAAGGACUACAGCCACAUCCCAGCCCUUCAGAGAACUGUCCUGCAGAAAAGGCUGUCGUCCAGACUGGAGCAGUGGGCCAUCAGUGAGCUCAGGAGAACAGAUGAUCCCAGCC
Molecule: long non-coding RNA, 266 nt
Organism: Sander lucioperca (pikeperch)
Lineage: Eukaryota; Metazoa; Chordata; Actinopteri; Perciformes; Percidae
Exons: 3
Source: RefSeq, a predicted model, not a curated record